RNAcentral lists this ribosomal RNA (387 nucleotides) under Triticum aestivum (bread wheat). RNAcentral describes it as "partial small subunit ribosomal RNA". Lineage: Eukaryota; Viridiplantae; Streptophyta; Magnoliopsida; Poales; Poaceae. The record is from RNAcentral.
AUGAAGAAACAGACUGCAGUUUCUCGUUCGAGUGCAGAGGCUGAGUUGCGAGCUAUGGCUCUUCUCACGGCAGAGGUGACUUCGUUACGUUGGUUACUUGAGGAUUUUGGUGUCACUGUUACUACACCUACUACACUCUUGUCAGACAGUACAGGUGCUAUCAGUAUUGCACGGGACCCAGUGAAGCAUGAGUUUACCAAGCAUAUUGGUGUUGAUGCUUUCUUUGUGCGCGUUGGUGUGCAGGACCAUGUUAUUGCUCUUCAGUAUGUGCCUUCCGAGUUACAGCUAGCGGCCUUCUUACGAGGGCCCGGACCAGAGCGCAACAUGGAUUUUACCUCUCCAAACUCAGUGUUGUGGAUCCACCAUGAGUUUGAGGGGGGGUGUUAG